UGGUGGAGUGAUUUGUCUGGUUAAUUCCGUUAACGAACGAGACCUCGACCUUUAAAUAGUACGGCGAAUCUCCGGAUUCGGUUCGAGACUUCUUAGAGGGACUAUUGUGUGUGUAGCCGAUGGAAGUUCGAGGCAAUAACA
RNAcentral lists this ribosomal RNA (141 nucleotides) under uncultured eukaryote. Its description in RNAcentral is "partial 18S ribosomal RNA". It matches the Rfam family "Eukaryotic small subunit ribosomal RNA", at positions 1299 to 1458 of the family's 1831-position model. The record is from RNAcentral.